This 468-nucleotide long non-coding RNA is filed under the name Rattus norvegicus (Norway rat). Its description in RNAcentral is "long non-coding RNA NONRATT013099". Lineage: Eukaryota; Metazoa; Chordata; Mammalia; Rodentia; Muridae. The record is from RNAcentral.
GGCAUCUGGGAUGCAGAGAGCACCAGUCCUCCCAGCACUCCGCGCUGUCCUGGAAAUGGAAAGUGAGCUGACUGUUAAGCCAAGUCCUGAAGAGAGAGACCUGAGAGCCCUCAGGAGUCUGAGGCCAGCAAAGACAGGAUCCUUUCCUGACAAUCACUGACCCGUCCACGAGGGGCUCGUCUAAUAGAAAGAUUGAUGAAAGGACACAGACGCUGCAGCAAGUCUUUUCGGUUGUAACAGAACAGAAAAGUCAACGGCCCGAGGCUCGCUGACCCACGUGCGUGCGGAGAGAAGAGCGGCUUCACAGGCACCAGCUACACUACUUACAGAGCAGCAGCCCCGGAGAUGAUCUCUAUCAGCUCCUUCGUGAUGACGGCCUGGCGGGUGCGGUUGAAAGUCAGCGUCAAUUUAUCAAUCAUAUCAGCUGCAAACAAAAGGGACAGACAGACACCACAAUAAAACGUUUUG